AUGGAGCCGACCUUGAAAUACCACCCUUUAAUGUUUGAUGUUCUAACGUUGACCCGUAAUCCGGGUUGCGGACAGUGUCUGGUGGGUAGUUUGACUGGGGCGGUCUCCUCCUAAAGAGUAACGGAGGAGCACGAAGGUUGGCUAAUCCUGGUCGGACAUCAGGAGGUUAGUGCAAUGGCAUAAGCCAGCUUGACUGCGAGCGUGACGGCGCGAGCAGGUGCGAAAGCAGGUCAUAGUGAUCCGGUGGUUCUGAAUGGAAGGGCCAUCGCUCAACGGAUAAAAGGUACUCCGGGGAUAACAGGCUGAUACCGCCCAAGAGUUCAUAUCGACGGCGGUGUUUGGCACCUCGAUGUCGGCUCAUCACAUCCUGGGGCUGAAGUAGGUCCCAAGGGUAUGGCUGUUCGCCAUUUAAAGUGGUACGCGAGCUGGGUUUAGAACGUCGUGAGACAGUUCGGUCCCUAUCUGCCGUGGGCGCUGGAGAACUGAGGGGGGCUGCUCCUAGUACGAGAGGACCGGAGUGGACGCAUCACUGGUGUUCGGGUUGUCAUGCCAAUGGCACUGCCCGGUAGCUAAAUGCGGAAGAGAUAAGUGCUGAAAGCAUCUAAGCACGAAACUUGCCCCGAGAUGAGUUCUCCCUGACCCUUUAAGGGUCCUGAAGGAACGUUGAAGACGACGACGUUGAUAGGCCGGGUGUGUAAGCGC
Molecule: ribosomal RNA, 702 nt
Filed under: Escherichia coli
Lineage: Bacteria; Pseudomonadati; Pseudomonadota; Gammaproteobacteria; Enterobacterales; Enterobacteriaceae
Description: partial 23S ribosomal RNA
Rfam family: Bacterial large subunit ribosomal RNA
Source: RNAcentral